GCCGGGCACGGUGGCGUGUGCCUGUAGUCCCAGCUAUUCGGGAGGCUGAGGCUGGAGGAUCACUUGAGCCCAGGAGUUCUGGGCUGUAGUGUGCUAUGCCAGUCAGGUGUCCGCACUAAGUUCGGCAUCAAUAUGGUGACCUCCCGGGAGCGGGGUAACACCAAGUUGCCUAAGGAGGGGUGAACCGGCCCAGGUCGGAAACGGAGUGGGUCAAAACUCCUGUGCUGAUCAGUAGUGGGAUCACACCUGUGAAUAGCCACUGCACUCCAGCCUGGGCAACAUAGUGAGACCCUGUCUCU
RNAcentral lists this signal recognition particle RNA (299 nucleotides) under Aotus nancymaae (Ma's night monkey). Its description in RNAcentral is "Metazoan signal recognition particle RNA (ENSANAG00000005632.1)". It matches the Rfam family "Metazoan signal recognition particle RNA". Rfam says of the family: The signal recognition particle (SRP) is a universally conserved ribonucleoprotein. It is involved in the co-translational targeting of proteins to membranes. The eukaryotic SRP consists of a 300-nucleotide 7S RNA and six proteins: SRPs 72, 68, 54, 19, 14, and 9. Lineage: Eukaryota; Metazoa; Chordata; Mammalia; Primates; Aotidae. The record is from RNAcentral.